RNAcentral lists this ribosomal RNA (250 nucleotides) under uncultured Pelotomaculum sp. Its description in RNAcentral is "partial 16S ribosomal RNA". It matches the Rfam family "Bacterial small subunit ribosomal RNA", at positions 524 to 773 of the family's 1533-position model. Lineage: Bacteria; Bacillati; Bacillota; Clostridia; Eubacteriales; Desulfotomaculaceae. The record is from RNAcentral.
AACGUAGGGGGCGAGCGUUGUCCGGAAUUACUGGGCGUAAAGGGCGCGUAGGCGGCUAUUUAAGUCAGAGGUGAAAACUGCCGGCUCAACCGGCAGCGUGCCUUUGAAACUGAGUAGCUUGAGGGCAGGAGAGGGGAGUGGAAUUCCCAGUGUAGCGGUGAAAUGCGUAGAUAUUGGGAGGAACACCAGUGGCGAAGGCGGCUCUCUGGCCUGUUGCUGACGCUGAGGCGCGAAAGCGUGGGGAGCGAAC